AUUACUGGGCUUAAAUAGUUCGUAGCUGGUUUGUUAAGUCUCUGGGGAAAUCUUCCGGCUUAACCGGAAGGCGUCUCAGGGAUACUGGCAGACUAGGGACCGGAAGAGGUGAGAGGUACUCCAGGGGUAGGAGUGAAAUCCUGUAAUCCUUGGGGGACCACCUGUGGCGAAGGCGUCUCACCAGAACGGCUCCGACAGUGAGGGACGAAAGCUGGGGGAGCAAACCGGAUUAGAUACCCGGGUAGUCCCAGCCGUAAACGAUGUGCAUUAGGUGUAUCGGUGACCACGAGUCACCGAGGUGCCGAAGAGAAAUCGUGAAAUGCACCGCCUGGGAAGUACGGUCGCAAGGCUGAAACUUAAAGGAAUUGGCGGGGGAGCACCACAACAGGUGGAGCCUGCGGUUUAAUCGGACUCAACGCCGGGAAACUCACCAGAUAAGACAGCUGAAUGAUAGUCGGGCUGAAGACUCUACUUGACUAGCUGAGAGGAGGUGCAUGGCCGUCGUCAGUUC
This 511-nucleotide ribosomal RNA is filed under the name uncultured Methanomicrobiaceae archaeon. RNAcentral describes it as "bacterial SSU rRNA". It matches the Rfam family "Archaeal small subunit ribosomal RNA", at positions 500 to 1010 of the family's 1478-position model. The record is from RNAcentral. Lineage: Archaea; Methanobacteriati; Methanobacteriota; Methanomicrobia; Methanomicrobiales; Methanomicrobiaceae.